Molecule: non-coding RNA, 72 nt
Organism: Phrynosoma platyrhinos (Desert horned lizard)
Lineage: Eukaryota; Metazoa; Chordata; Lepidosauria; Squamata; Phrynosomatidae
Source: the annotation of a GenBank genome assembly
GCCAGUGUGGUUUAGUGGUCUGAGUGUUGGCCUAUCACUCUGGUGACCAAGGUUCAAUUCCCAGCAAGGUCA